UACGUAGGGACCGAGCGUUGUCCGGAUUCAUUGGGCGUAAAGAGCUCGUAGGCGGCCACUCAAGUCGAAUGUGAAACCUCGAGGCUCAACCUCGAGCCUGCAUUCGAUACUGGGCGGCUAGAGUCUGGUAGGGGGAUCUGGAAUUCCUGGUGUAGCGGUGGAAUGCGCAGAUAUCAGGAGGAACACCGAUGGCGAAGGCAGCCUCCUGGGCCAACACUGACGCUCAUGCACGAAAGCGUGGGGAGCAAACAGG
RNAcentral lists this ribosomal RNA (253 nucleotides) under uncultured bacterium. RNAcentral's name for it is "partial 16S ribosomal RNA". It matches the Rfam family "Bacterial small subunit ribosomal RNA", at positions 524 to 776 of the family's 1533-position model. The record is from RNAcentral.